UGGAUAGCUCAACUGGUUAGAGUGCAGUGUUGAUAAUGCCAAGGUUGCAGGUUUGAUCCCUGGAUGGGACAA
Podarcis lilfordi (Lilford's wall lizard) is the source of this 72-nucleotide non-coding RNA. The record is from the annotation of a GenBank genome assembly. NCBI's taxonomy places the organism in Eukaryota, Metazoa, Chordata, Lepidosauria, Squamata, Lacertidae.